UUGCAAUUACCACAGCGUAAGCAAUGCACUUAUCUGGUGUCUAAAGCAAGAAUGAAGCCUCAUGACAUAUUUCUGUGCUUUCCAGUUUAUGCAACAGCACUGGUGUUUUUUGGUGUUCAGAAAGCUGCACAGUCAAGUCCUGCUGUUCGUCUGACUGCUAAUCCUCCAUGGCCAGAUGUGUUCCCAGGAAAUACAAUUACUCUCAACUGUCAGGUUAUUGAAUCUGAGGGAUGGACAUUUGUGUGGACCAGCCGCAGACAGGGUGGUCAAACACAACUUCCAGUCUCCAGU
This is a long non-coding RNA of Anguilla anguilla (European eel), 291 nucleotides long. RefSeq lists it as uncharacterized. The record is from RefSeq and is a predicted model, not a curated record. The transcript has 3 exons. Lineage: Eukaryota; Metazoa; Chordata; Actinopteri; Anguilliformes; Anguillidae.